CUGAGCAAACUUUACCUUAGCUCCUGUUGCCAAGGGCUUAGGUAACAAUACCAUAUUCAAAUCUGUAAGGGGAAAUGAAGGAAACUAGGAUUUUGCCAAAGAGGCUAAGGGCAGGGGUUUGCAAAAGAGAGUCUGGUCACAUACACAGAACUGAAAGAACUGUUCCAGAAUCUGGGAAAGAGAUAAAACCAGACACCUGAGGCAGUUGGAGAUUGGUUGUUCCUGUUCUGCUAGGGAAGCAAAGAGAACUGAUUCCAGCUUUUUCAAUCCUGUCUGCAGCCAAGAAGGAGCCAUGCAUUGCCUAGAAAUGAAAGAGAGAAAAAUUGAAUCCACUCCAAGUUCCUUUAAAAACAACCAACUGAGCACAAAGCACUCUAGUAGGGUACAAAGUCCACAGACUUGGAAAUAAAAAAUUUCUAUUCAUCUACAAAAUAGAUAUAGACAGCAUCAGUUCAAGUAUCUCACAGAUCAAAUCUGAACUUGACAGAAUGCAUCCUUUUGUUUAGAAGCUUGUCAUAAGCUUUGUCUCCUGGCCCUAUAACAGACAACAUGCUUGGUAAUAAAAACAAAGCCUGACUAUCUCUUUAAAAAAAC
RNAcentral lists this long non-coding RNA (594 nucleotides) under Monodelphis domestica (gray short-tailed opossum). Its description in RNAcentral is "lncRNA (ENSMODG00000048128.1)". Lineage: Eukaryota; Metazoa; Chordata; Mammalia; Didelphimorphia; Didelphidae. The record is from RNAcentral.